UACGUAGGUGGCAAGCGUUGUCCGGAAUUAUUGGGCGUAAAGCGCGCGCAGGCGGUCUUUUAAGUCUGAUGUGAAAGCCCACGGCUCAACCGUGGAGGGUCAUUGGAAACUGGGAGACUUGAGUGCAGAAGAGAAGAGUGGAAUUCCACGUGUAGCGGUGAAAUGCGUAGAGAUGUGGAGGAACACCAGUGGCGAAGGCGGUUCUCUGGGACGGUACUGACGCUGAGACGCGAAAGCGUGGGGAGCGAACAGG
Molecule: ribosomal RNA, 253 nt
Filed under: uncultured bacterium
Lineage: Bacteria
Description: partial 16S ribosomal RNA
Rfam family: Bacterial small subunit ribosomal RNA
Source: RNAcentral